Molecule: ribosomal RNA, 252 nt
Filed under: uncultured bacterium
Lineage: Bacteria
Description: partial 16S ribosomal RNA
Rfam family: Bacterial small subunit ribosomal RNA
Source: RNAcentral
ACGUAGGGUGCGAGCGUUGUCCGGAAUUAUUGGGCGUAAAGAGCUCGUAGGCGGUUUGUCGCGUCUGCUGUGAAAACCUAAGGCUCAACCUUGGGCUUGCAGUGGGUACGGGCAGACUAGAGUGCGGUAGGGGUGACUGGAAUUCCUGGUGUAGCGGUGGAAUGCGCAGAUAUCAGGAGGAACACCGAUGGCGAAGGCAGGUCACUGGGCCGCAACUGACGCUGAGGAGCGAAAGCAUGGGGAGCGAGCAGG